This 285-nucleotide small nuclear RNA is filed under the name Castor canadensis (American beaver). Its description in RNAcentral is "7SK RNA (ENSCCNG00000024882.1)". It matches the Rfam family "7SK RNA". From Rfam's summary of the family: 7SK was discovered as an abundant small nuclear RNA in the mid-70s but a possible function has only recently been suggested. Two independent studies have found that 7SK RNA binds the CDK9/cyclin T complex (known as elongation factor P-TEFb). Lineage: Eukaryota; Metazoa; Chordata; Mammalia; Rodentia; Castoridae. The record is from Rfam by way of RNAcentral.
GGAUGUGAGGGCGAUCUGGCUGCGACAUCUGUCACCCCAUUGAUCGCCAGGGUUGAUUCGGCUGAUCUGGCUGGCUAGGUGGGUGUCCCCUUCCUCCCUCACUGCUCCAUGUGCGUCCCUUCCGAAGCUGCGCGCUCGGUCGAAGAGGACGACCAUCCCCGAUAGAGGAGGACCGUUCUUCGGUCAAGGGUAUACGAGUAGCUGCGCUCCCCUGCUAGAACCUCCAAACAAACUCUCAAGAAGCUGGACACCUCAGAACAAGGGGGGCAGAUGUGCAGCCCCUGU